Molecule: non-coding RNA, 182 nt
Filed under: Gammaproteobacteria bacterium
Lineage: Bacteria; Pseudomonadati; Pseudomonadota; Gammaproteobacteria
Description: 6S RNA
Rfam family: 6S / SsrS RNA
About the family: E. coli 6S RNA was the first non coding RNA to be sequenced, but its function was unknown until recently. It consists of 184 nucleotides that fold into an extended hairpin structure with a large single-stranded internal bulge.
Source: RNAcentral
UGACCCCUGCGGUGUUCGCCAGAGUCCGGUGUAACCCUUGAGCCUUAAUAAUGUAUACCGGGGUACAAGGUCCUGGUGGUGAGCAGGUCCACCUCGCAGUGGAAAGCCUAAGCCUUGACUGAGUUCCCCACCUGAACCUUAGGUUCAGGGUCAAAGGACACAGCGGCACAGGCGGGGGUCAU